Oncorhynchus nerka (sockeye salmon) is the source of this 2390-nucleotide long non-coding RNA. RefSeq lists it as uncharacterized. The transcript is spliced from 4 exons. Lineage: Eukaryota; Metazoa; Chordata; Actinopteri; Salmoniformes; Salmonidae. The record is from RefSeq and is a predicted model, not a curated record.
CUCUCUCCUCUGUCCUCUCUCCUCUGUCCUCUCUCCACCGUCCUCUCUCCUCUGUCCUCUCUCCUCUGUCCUCUCUCCACCGUCCUCUCUCCUCUGUCCUCUCUCCACCGUCCUCUCUCCUCCAGCCUCUCUUCUCUGUGACCCGGAAACCGAUGAGGUCGAGUAGUCGAGGAGUGUGUCAAUUCAUUAGUAGGCAAACAGAAGACUGUCAUCCCCUCCUCAAUAGCCUCUUUUUGGCGAGAAAGCACAAGUGUGUCCUACCGCGGAAGAGUUUUGAGAUUUGCCACACCCCCCUUUGAAUCAGCUGUUGUACUGUCGGAGGAGAAAAACAUUUUAAAACGAUAUGCUACUUAUCCUGGCACAAUUAACUACAUUUGUUUUUAUCCCUUUACACAUUUAUUUUGGGAUCCACCUCUGUAAAUGCAAUUUGCCUGACGACAGACGAGUGGAGAAGGAGCUUCUUAUUUCAUACAAGCACAUUUUUGUCCACGUUCACUCACGUCGCCACCUCUCCUUGGUUACUUUUGGCCUUUUUCAAAAGGAGGCGAGAGAGGAUGGAGGAGAACAGAGUUGAGCAAAUCUAAUUGAGAAAAGGCCACUGUCCUAUCCUGUCCUAUCCUGUCCUAUCCUAAUCUAGUUUUCCUUUCCUUGGGCUCAGUGCCCGCCCCUGAGUCUUUGAUUGGCGCUCUUUCCCAAACUAAGCCCCGCCCGUCACCCCCACCAGGCCUGUCUCUGCUCUCUGAGGGAAUGAGGAUGGGACUGAAGGCAGCUGGAGAAGGUGUGGAGAGAUCACCAUCAGAUAACAGAAUCAAUAUCUGUAGGCCUCUUGACUACCAAGAUAAGUGCAGUACUGUGAGAGUUUGACAGUGGGAGAUAUGAUGGAUUGCACAGGAGGUUGGUGGCACCUUAAUUGGGGAGGAUGGUUUGUGGUGAUGGCUGGAGCGCAAUAGGGGGAAUGGUAUCAAAUACAUCAAACAUGUUGUCCAUGUGUUUGAUGCCAUUGCAUUCGCUCUGUUCCAACCAUUAUUAUGAGCCAUCCUCCCCUCAGCAGCCUCCAUUGAUGGAUUGAUACAGCUGUAAGGUAUUUCAUUGCAGGGGAUUUGAUUCUGCAGUUGUCCUGAUGGUGGUGCUAUUGGAUCAGUACAGUAUCAAGAUUGAUCAAUGAGAUCACCUCGGUUUACCCAGAUCCCAGAGAACGAGGAUCUGUCCGGCCUGUCAGACGAGAGCCCUGGUCCGAUGACAGAGCUGAGUGAUGUCACUGAGCCAGGUCAGGAUGAUGAGUCAGAGGAGCAGCCUCCAGGGUCCUGAAGGGAGACGCCACUCAACAGGCCAGGUCAUGAGACUGAUGGAUGGAAAGAUGGAGGGAGGAAGGAGUGAGAAACGGAACAGCCUGAGAGAGAUGGAGGGAGGGAAGAGUGAUACUAGAUGGAACAGCCUGAGAAUGAUGGAAGGAGGGAGGAGUGAAAGACGGAAGAGCCUGAGACAGAUGGAGGGAGGAUGAUGUGAGAGAUGUAACAGCUUGAGAGCGAUGGAGGGAGGAGUGAUACUAGACAAAACAGCCUGAGAGAGAUGGAAGGAGGGAGGCAUGAGAGAUGGAACAGCCUGAGGAGGGACAUGACUCAGACUCAGGAUACUCUCUUUGAUGCAUCAAGGAAUGAGCUUCAACCCCUUUGCCUUUUAUCGUGGGAUUACGACUAUGAGAUGAAGAAACUGCUGGCAACCAAAGCCAUGCAGAAGAAGUCGGUGGUCAGUCCAUUCCUGCUGAGGCCGUCAACGAGCUACACAACAUCAGCCGACACAGCUACUAACCCUACCUGGCAAACACUGGACAACUACAACAGGUAUUACCAGCCAUUGAGCAGCUGCCCUCUCUGAAUGCUCUGUGGCCAGUCAGUGAACACCAUGCUCAUUUGGGUUAAUAGAUACAGUCUGAUAAUUUCUGGGUUGUUUUGUGUGAGGGAAUUUAGGAGUCAGUGUGAGCGUUUCGCCUAAGCGCCUGAUUAUUUGUAGCAAGCUAGGAGAGGCGUUGAGCUGGGUGAGAGCUUGUUUAUUAAUAUGAUUAUUCUCAGUGCUGCUUGGCUCGGUUGGUAUUCCUGCCCUGAGAAAAACAGAGUGGAGGAGAGAAACUGUGAGCACCAAUUACCACCCUGUCUCAUCCACUCAUCCUCAUGGAAGGAGACAAGGAAGGAGACAGGGAAGGAGAGAGGGAAGGAGAGAGUGAGAGAGAAAGGGGAGUGAACGAAAAGUGAAACAAAGCGAGGGAAGUAUGGGCUCAAUUGAAAAACAUUGAGAAGAUAAAUAUAUGCAAACCCCAUCCCUCUUCCUCUCUCUCCUCGCUCCUCUCUCUCUCUCUCUCCUCACUCCUCUCUCUCCUCACUCCUCUCUCUCCU